This 253-nucleotide ribosomal RNA is filed under the name uncultured bacterium. Its description in RNAcentral is "partial 16S ribosomal RNA". It matches the Rfam family "Bacterial small subunit ribosomal RNA", at positions 524 to 776 of the family's 1533-position model. The record is from RNAcentral.
UACGUAGGGGGCAAGCGUUGUCCGGAAUUACUGGGCGUAAAGGGCGCGUAGGCGGUUAAUUAAGUCAGAUGUGAAAGCCCUCGGCUUAACCGGGGGAGUGCAUUUGAAACUGAAUAACUUGAGUGCAGGAGAGGAAAGCGGAAUUCCUAGUGUAGCGGUGAAAUGCGUAGAUAUUAGGAGGAACACCAGUGGCGAAGGCGGCUUUCUGGACUGUAACUGACGCUGAGGCGCGAAAGCGUGGGGAGCAAACAGG